CCUACGGUAGGCAGCAGUGAGGAAUAUUGGUUAAUGGACGAGAGUCUGAACCAGCCAAGUAGCGUGAAGGAUGAAUGCCCUAUGGGUUGUAAACUUCUUUUAUAAAGGAAUAAAACGAGGCACGUGUGCCUUUUUUCAUGUACUUUAUGAAUAAGGAUCGGCUAACUCCGUGCCAGCAGCCGCGGUAAUACGGAGGAUCCGAGAGUUAGCCGGAUUUAUUGGGUUGAAAGGGAGGUUAGAUGGGUUGUUAAGUCAGUUGUUAAAGUUUGCGGCUCAACCGUAAAAUUGCAAUAGAUACUGGCAGUCGUGAUUACAGUUGAGGUAGGCGGAAUUCGUGGUGUAGCGGUGAAAUGCUGAGAUAUCACGAAGAACCCCGAUUGCGAAGGCAGCUUACUAAACUGUGACUGACAUUGAUGCUCGAAAGUGUGGGUAUCAAACAGGAUUAGAUACCCUUGUAGUC
This 460-nucleotide ribosomal RNA is filed under the name uncultured bacterium. RNAcentral's name for it is "partial 16S ribosomal RNA". It matches the Rfam family "Bacterial small subunit ribosomal RNA", at positions 338 to 795 of the family's 1533-position model. The record is from RNAcentral.